UACAGAGGUCCCGAGCGUUGUUCGGAUUCACUGGGCGUAAAGGGUGCGUAGGUGGCGAGGUAAGUCGGAUGUGAAAGCUCGGAGCUCAACUCCGAAAUGGCAUUGGAAACUACCUUGCUCGAGGGUUGGAGGGGGGACUGGAAUACUUGGUGUAGCAGUGAAAUGCGUAGAUAUCAAGUGGAACACCAGUGGCGAAGGCGAGUCCCUGGACAACUCCUGACGCUGAGGCACGAAAGCUAGGGGAGCAAACAGG
This 253-nucleotide ribosomal RNA is filed under the name uncultured bacterium. RNAcentral describes it as "partial 16S ribosomal RNA". It matches the Rfam family "Bacterial small subunit ribosomal RNA", at positions 524 to 776 of the family's 1533-position model. The record is from RNAcentral.